RNAcentral lists this long non-coding RNA (253 nucleotides) under Nicotiana benthamiana. RNAcentral describes it as "long non-coding RNA (NBEN_LNC020363)". The record is from RNAcentral. Lineage: Eukaryota; Viridiplantae; Streptophyta; Magnoliopsida; Solanales; Solanaceae.
GGACUGGUCGGAUCGAUUUCCAAAGGUUCCGGAUGAGUUUGUGCGAAACUAGUCACUUAAGUGGUUAAGAAGGGUUCCGACAAUCAAAACCGGGCAAACGAGGUCGAAACUGUAAUUUGACGACGCAUACAGGUUCGUGUCGUCAUUUGUGACCCAUAGGAACUGGAAUCGUGACCAAGGUAGUGGUAGUUGGUUGGCGAUGAGUACGAACGACAGGUACCUUCCUUUUUGUGGAAGAUCCUUCCAUCCUUGG